GCCAAGAAGGAGAAACAAUUGGUAUUUUGAAUUUCACCACAUUUUAUUAUUUUGUUUAUGCUGUUUAAAACUCAAAUUUCGUUGGACAAGUUUAUAUGUUCUCUUUUGCUGGCUGUUUCCAUCUUCCCAUCUAUGUUUCAAUAAUAUCAAUCUAUUCUGUUACUCAUUUCUUUGACUUAAUAGGUGGGAGAGAAGGGCCAUGUGA
RNAcentral lists this unclassified non-coding RNA (205 nucleotides) under Hevea brasiliensis (rubber tree). The record is from RNAcentral. Lineage: Eukaryota; Viridiplantae; Streptophyta; Magnoliopsida; Malpighiales; Euphorbiaceae.